UACGUAGGGCGCGAGCGUUGUCCGGAAUCAUUGGGCGUAAAGAGCUCGUAGGCGGCCGGUUGCGUCUGCUGUGAAAUCCCGGGGCUUAACCCCGGGCGUGCAGUGGAUACGGGCUGGCUGGAGGCAGGCAGGGGAGAAUGGAAUUCCCGGUGUAGCGGUGAAAUGCGCAGAUAUCAGGAGGAACACCGGUGGCGAAGGCGGGUCUCUGGGCAGUAACUGACGCUGAGGAGCGAAAGCGUGGGGAGCGAACAGG
RNAcentral lists this ribosomal RNA (253 nucleotides) under uncultured bacterium. Its description in RNAcentral is "partial 16S ribosomal RNA". It matches the Rfam family "Bacterial small subunit ribosomal RNA", at positions 524 to 776 of the family's 1533-position model. The record is from RNAcentral.